This 644-nucleotide long non-coding RNA is filed under the name Anas platyrhynchos platyrhynchos (common mallard). Its description in RNAcentral is "lncRNA (ENSAPLG00000025532.1)". The record is from RNAcentral. Lineage: Eukaryota; Metazoa; Chordata; Aves; Anseriformes; Anatidae.
ACAAAAUUUAAAGCAUCUCUGUUAGGUAUAGAAAUUCAAACUAUCAAAACAUGAAUCAGGCUUAGUAAAAUAUCCUUUCCUCCAUCUGUCCAUACCCCAAAUCCAGUGCUUUUUUCUCUGUGAACAUCAAUGUCCAGGAUGAUGUGAAUUGCUGAACAUUUUUUUCCCCAUAGGACAACAGGGACCCAGAGAUAAAGGGCACUGAAGACUGGGAGGAUAUCUGUGCUGAGAUGGAAAAGAAUAGAAAAUGACAUGGAGAAAGAAAUAAGCUACAGAUAAAGGUGGCUCCCCAGAAAGGACAAAAUCAAAGACAACAUUUUAGAGCCAGCCAAAGAGGACUUUUUUUCACUAGCGUCAAAGAAGGCUUUAGUCUCCAGUCCUCGGCUCUUGUUAUGUCUUUCCCCACUAGACAGAGGAGUCCUUUGGUACCCACUGAGAUAUCCAGGAAGGAAAUAUGCACUCUCAUCAAUUGUCCUCUAUAUCUUUCUGGUGCAAAUCCACAGAUAUUGCAGAAAACUUCCUUUGCUGUGACCUCAAAGAAACAUUGCUGGUUUCUACCGACUCCCAUCGGUUUCUACUAAGGCACUAAGUCACCAUCCUGCUCAGCCAUGUACCCCAGCGGGACAUCUCUUCAGAGCCACUUA